Molecule: ribosomal RNA, 693 nt
Filed under: uncultured bacterium
Lineage: Bacteria
Description: bacterial SSU rRNA
Rfam family: Bacterial small subunit ribosomal RNA
Source: RNAcentral
GCAACCUGCCCAAAAGAGGGGGAUAACACUUGGAAACAGGUGCUAAUACCGCAUAACCAUAGUUACCGCAUGGUAACUAUGUAAAAGGUGGCUAUGCUACCGCUUUUGGAUGGGCCCGCGGCGCAUUAGCUAGUUGGUGGGGUAAAGGCUCACCAAGGCAAUGAUGCGUAGCCGAACUGAGAGGUUGAUCGGCCACAUUGGGACUGAGACACGGCCCAAACUCCUACGGGAGGCAGCAGUAGGGAAUCUUCCACAAUGGGCGAAAGCCUGAUGGAGCAACGCCGCGUGGGUGAAGAAGGUCUUCGGAUCGUAAAACCCUGUUGUUAGAGAAGAAAGUGCGUGAGAGUAACUGUUCACGUUUCGACGGUAUCUAACCAGAAAGCCACGGCUAACUACGUGCCAGCAGCCGCGGUAAUACGUAGGUGGCAAGCGUUAUCCGGAUUUAUUGGGCGUAAAGGGAACGCAGGCGGUCUUUUAAGUCUGAUGUGAAAGCCUUCGGCUUAACCGGAGUAGUGCAUUGGAAACUGGGAGACUUGAGUGCAGAAGAGGAGAGUGGAACUCCAUGUGUAGCGGUGAAAUGCGCAGAUAUAUGGAAGAACACCAGUGGCGAAAGCGGCUCUCUGGUCUGUAACUGACGCUGAGGUUCGAAAGCGUGGGUAGCAAACAGGAUUAGAUACCCUGGUAGUCCACGCC